AGGGCACCACCAGGAGUGGAGCCUGCGGCUUAAUUUGACUCAACACGGGAAAACUCACCCGGCCCGGACACUGGAAGGAUUGACAGAUUGAGAGCUCUUUCUUGAUUCAGUGGGUGGUGGUGCAUGGCCGUUCUUAGUUGGUGGAGUGAUUUGUCUGGUUAGUUCCGAUAACGAACGAGACUCUAGCCUACUAAAUAGAUCGUCGGCUUACAAACGCCGGCGAGACUUCUUAGAGGGACAGGCGGUGAUUCAACCGCACGAAACAGAGCAAUAACAGGUCUGUGAUGCCCUUAGAUGUCCGGGGCCGCACGCGCGCUACACUGAAGUGAUCAGCGUGCUUUUUCAACCUACUCUGUCAAGAGUGGGGAACCCAAUGAACCUUCUUCGUGAUUGGGAUAGGGGAUUGUAAUUAUUCCCCUUGAACGAGGAAUUCCCAGUAAGCGCGAGUCAUAAGCUCGCGUUGAUUACGUCCCUGCCCUUUGUACACACCGCACGUCGCUACUACCGAUUGAAUGUUUU
Molecule: ribosomal RNA, 519 nt
Filed under: uncultured eukaryote
Lineage: Eukaryota
Description: SSU rRNA
Rfam family: Eukaryotic small subunit ribosomal RNA
Source: RNAcentral